ACUCAAAGGAAUAGACGGGGGCCCGCACAAGCGGUGGAGCAUGUGGUUUAAUUCGAUGCAACGCGAAGAACCUUACCUGGGUUAGACAACGUUGGACAACUCUAGAGAUAGAGUCUCCCCUUCGGGGGCCAGCGGUAUAGGUGCUGCAUGGCUGUCGUCAGCUCGUAUCGUGAGAUGUCGGGUUAAGUCCCUUAACGAGCGCAACCCUUGUCCCUAGUUGCCAUCAUUUAGUUGGGCACUCUAAGGAGACUGCCGGUGUUAAACCGGAGGAAGGUGGGGAUGACGUCAAGUCCUCAUGGCCCUUAUGUCCAGGGCUACACACGUGCUACAAUGGCCGGUACAGAGGGUCGCCAACCCGCAAGGGGGAGCUAAUCUCAGAAAGCCGGUCUCAGUUCGGAUUGAAGUCUGCAACUCGACUUCAUGAAGCUGGAAUCGCUAGUAAUCGCGGAUCAGAACGCCGCGGUGAAUACGUUCCCGGGCCUUGCACACACCGCCCGU
Molecule: ribosomal RNA, 498 nt
Filed under: uncultured bacterium
Lineage: Bacteria
Description: partial 16S ribosomal RNA
Rfam family: Bacterial small subunit ribosomal RNA
Source: RNAcentral